This 2049-nucleotide long non-coding RNA is filed under the name Schizosaccharomyces pombe (fission yeast). Lineage: Eukaryota; Fungi; Ascomycota; Schizosaccharomycetes; Schizosaccharomycetales; Schizosaccharomycetaceae. The record is from RNAcentral.
CGAUAGGAUGACUUAAGGAACGGAAGCAAUCCACUACUUGGUUUCUAGUCCUUGAGGGUGGUAAUCUCAGGCUCAUAGUGCUGUCUUGAUAAAAACUUGAAUAUUAACAGCUGAUUUAUAGCUGUAGAGCAAAUUUUAUUUAGUUUUUCAGUUUCGCUUUAUGAAGUUUAAUUAAUAUUCAUAUUGUAGUAAAAUCGAACCGUUAAAGUUGUCUUUUCUUCUCUUAUUUACAUUUUCGUUAAAAGCAACUUUAGCAGUCUUUUCUGCUUCUUUCACAUUUGUUUACGUAGUACUCGUUUUGGCAAUCUAGGAGCAAGUUAUUGCAAUAGAUGAAUAUUUUUUCUUGUUUUACUCGUGUAGUUUUAGCAGGGAAUUCCAGUUUUUCAUCGAAAAGUAACACGACUUGGUAGCACGGUCAAGAACCCGUUCUACUUCGGGGAUAACCAGGGACAUGAUGCAUACCAUAUCUGAUAACACAUGCCAUUACACUUUUUUUGAAAAUUUGAGCAAAAAAAAUAAUGAAAACAGGUACUUGAAAUCUGACAAGUGUUAGAGCCGGCUUCAUGCCAAACAUUGAAACUUGCUUCAAUAAUAGAUGAAAUCUCAGUAUAUAAUGAAUGUAUUGAACGGGUUACUGAAGUUCAUUUCAUCAUUAUAAGCGAAUAUUGGAUGUUUGAAAUCGUCUUCAUCCUAUGGUAUGAAUAACAACGACUGUCGUGAAAAGUUGAUGAAAGACUAUAGGCCCCGCUUAAGAAAUUACGAUAUUAUAAAGAAUCUAUAAUUUUCUACAAUUUAAUUGAAAUUUUUAUAUUUGGAGGCGAAAACUUAUUCUUUUUCAGCUUGCUCAACUUUAUGUGACUUUUUUACAUGGUAUAUCAACAUGAACAUUCUUACUGCAAAUAUUUCAACUAAAUAAAUUCAUUAAAUUUUUAUUAGACAAUAAAAAUAUACUAUAGCAACUUGAGAGCUGCAAUACGUGUACGCCACAAACAAUUGAGAAACAAACAGAAAUUGUUUACACAGUUUCGCUGUUUUCAAAAUAUAACCACGGGUAAGUAAUACAGUUGGCAUACAACAUUUGGGUAACCUACCAUAAUUAUCAAUUGAGCGCAAGAAUGGCUUGGAUACUGACUCAACCCCAGUCUACUGAAUCGACGAUGUUUGGAAAAUCGAAUGAAACCAGCAAAACCGAUCCUUCACCUUUAACUAUCGGUAAUCCAAGUUUGAUUAUCGAGCAAAGAUGUGGUUGGUGCUUGGACAGAUGGAUCUACUUGAUUGCUUGAUAUUUUUCGGUGUCAGUUCGUUACGCUAAAAUGACUAAGAAAAAUGAACACAGCCUCGAUAAACAAAUAUCAUCAGUGCGAUCCAACAGCGGUAUUUGUCUGAGUUUCUGGUUUACAUUCCGAGCCACAUGAAAGAUAGGCGUUACAGGGCUCGGGAAUGCAGCCGAAGCCGUUCAAAGUUGUCAAUAAAGAACGUUUGGUAGAAGUGUCCAACAGCAACGAAGUGUUGAUGACUUGUUGCCAAUGAUGAAUUUCUUCACUAUUGAGUUGGACUUUGGAAUGUGAGUGGUCGUACCAACAACUACGGGUAUAUGGCCUUAUUGCAGUGUAAGAUUAUCUCAUUGUCAUACAAAGUGGGCAACUUCAUACGCAAGGCGUGGGUUUCAUGAACACACAAAACGAAUCGAGAUGAUCAUCGUUGGAUACUCGCUUGAUGCAGCUGCUAACGGAGAUGCACAAAGCAAUCGAACUUUACCAUGACAUAUCCGAAACAUGCUAAGAUCUUGUUGAUGCAUUCGUUGACGUUUUUUCAAGAUGUUUCGUAAUUUCUAUACCCCCGGGUGGAGUGGAGCUGCACUUACGAAAGGAUAAGUUGAAGGCUGAUUUUUCACAUCCCUUCUUUGCAAAAGUUUCCAAAGAUGAAAAGUGGAGAUGCUAUUACGCUAGCACAAUAUUCAUCAUCAUCUGAUCUGUUGUAUAAAACUUUUUCAUUUCAUAACUUAUGAAGUCAAUAAUAGUUUUUGAAAAUGGGAUUUCCUAAUUUAGU